GACGAACGCUGGCGGCGUGCUUAACACAUGCAAGUCGUACGGUAAGGCCCUUUCUGGGGUACCCGAGUGGCGAACGGGUGGGUAACACGCGAGUAACCUGCCCACAACUUUGGGAUAACGCUAGUAAACUGGGGCUAAUACUUGAUAUGUGCUCCUUCUGCAUGGUGGGUGUGGGAAAGCUCGGGUGGUUGUGUAUGGACUGGCGGCCUAUCAGCUUGUUGGUGGGGUAGUGGCCUACCAAGGCGGCGACGGGUAGCUGGCCUGAGGGGGUGACCGGCCAAAUUGGGACGGAGAUACGGCCCAGACUCCUACGGGAGGCAGCAGUGGGGAAUAUUGCACAAUGGGCGCAAGCCUGAUGCAGCAACGCCGCGUGCGGGAUGACGGCCUUCGGGUUGUAAACCGCUUUCAGCAGGGACGAAGCUUUUUGUGAAGGUACCUGAAGAAGAAGCACCGGCUAACUACGU
This 464-nucleotide ribosomal RNA is filed under the name uncultured bacterium. Its description in RNAcentral is "partial 16S ribosomal RNA". It matches the Rfam family "Bacterial small subunit ribosomal RNA", at positions 28 to 506 of the family's 1533-position model. The record is from RNAcentral.